GGGUGGUUUUGAAGAUAAUAUCAGCCGAGCUUCCAGUGUCGACUAAUAUUCUUGCUACAUCGAUAUCCUGGAUCGUCAGCUCGAUGACAAGGAGAUCGUUUCGAGGUUUGGCCUGAUCGGCCGUUGCUCUUUCCUUGAACGAGAUGACGUCGCUGCCAGUAAGGCUAGGCAUAUCGCUCGUUGAUCGUUCAGUGAUCUUUGAGUUAGAGAAUCCGUCCCCUCCUCCUUCUAGCCCCAAACUGUGGGAACCGAAAUUCACACCGUCGAUUUUAGUAAAUGCAGGAAAGCCAAGAUUCUAGACUUUCCUCGAGGAUCCGGAUUAUCUGCGUAAACACACGAAUACAAAAAACAAAGAGAUAACAAGAUAUCGAUGGUAAAUUGUACAGAGGCAUUUUCUUGAAUAAUAUGAAUUGAGAUACAGAGUCUCACCGAAAAUAGGAUGAACAUGAAAUUAUUAACAGCGGAGAAUCGCAUAACAAAGUAGAAAAACGUUCAAAGUAUGGAACUUGAUAGUCUAGCCACCUAAGUCAUAAACUCUCCUAAAGUUAAUAGAAAUC
RNAcentral lists this long non-coding RNA (557 nucleotides) under Brassica napus (rape). Its description in RNAcentral is "long non-coding RNA (BNAP_LNC024693)". The record is from RNAcentral. Lineage: Eukaryota; Viridiplantae; Streptophyta; Magnoliopsida; Brassicales; Brassicaceae.